This 274-nucleotide ribosomal RNA is filed under the name uncultured bacterium. Its description in RNAcentral is "partial 16S ribosomal RNA". It matches the Rfam family "Bacterial small subunit ribosomal RNA", at positions 523 to 796 of the family's 1533-position model. The record is from RNAcentral.
AUACGGAGGGUGCAAGCGUUAAUCGGAAUUACUGGGCGUAAAGCGCGCGUAGGCGGUUUAGUCAGUCAGAUGUGAAAGCCCCGGGCUCAACCUGGGAACUGCAUUUGAUACUGCUGAACUAGAGUAUGGUAGAGGGAAGUGGAAUUCCGGGUGUAGCGGUGAAAUGCGUAGAUAUCCGGAGGAACACCAGUGGCGAAGGCGACUUCCUGGACCAAUACUGACGCUGAGGUGCGAAAGCGUGGGUAGCAAACAGGAGUAGAUACCCUAGUAGUCC